CCAGACUCCUAGAUGGUGAGGACCUCAGAACCACCAGAACACAUACUCGUUAUUAGAGUAAUAACAACCGCAUCAGCCAUUUUUUUAAACCUGUAUCGUGUGCCAGGAGCAUGGUGAGGAGCCCAACCCACAAGUCGAGGGAGUAACUUGCCUCAGGUCACACAGCAAGUUGGUGAUAGAACUCAAGAGCAGAAUGCAGUUCUACUGACUCACCCUACCCUUACACCUCCCUCCUCAUCAGUGGAGCUCACCUCUGGCCACUCAGAAUCACCAGGUAGUUGCUAACCAUCAACAUGUGCAGGCUCUCCCCUACCAAAUGCAGACUGAAAGCAGAGAGAGGUUGAGGAAGUCUCCCAAGGCCACACAGCCUAACACAAGGACUCAGAUUGAACACAAAGACACUUCCUGGGACAUGCCAACCUGGGGCCAAGGAAGAAGAAAAAUCGGGCACAUGUUCCUCUGCUUAGAAGUGGUACAUGUACUUCUGCUCACAUCCCAUUCAUGCAAACAAGUCAUGUAGUCAAGCCUGACUUCAAUGGGUGAAAAUUAUUCUCCUGGCACAGGAGAAGAUAUCAUCAAGACCCACUGUAAAGACAGUAGAUGUUUUUGAGCAAAUAAUACAACCUACCCUGCAGUGUGCCAGUAAGUGUUUAAUGGUUUUUGGAGAAUAAAAGCUCUAAUGUGUGGCUUUUGCCAAUUUCUGUGGUGUAAAUACUCCCACAAUGGUGAAUUUCAAGCUACCAGUGUCACUGAAUGCAGAGUAAGAAGAGGUGUGUGUAGUCAGCUCUCAGGUGCAGUGUGAGCAGGCUACAGGAUGGCACUAAAGCUACCUCCACUUAAAAUCAGCUACUAAACAUAAAUUGAGUCAUACCUGUUCCACAAUUAGAUUAUGAAACCCUGUUGUGAGCUGCAGGAAGGGAGGCAAGGGAGAGGAAUAUCAUUUGACUCAGCACAAACCUGAAUGGAACCUAAAUUAAGGAUUUUCAGUACGGCUGAGGACUUAGUCCACUCUUCACGUUAUUUGCUAUUUCUCUAUUAAUUGGUAAAUUCAAGUGGAGAGUAAGAAUGUGUGAUCGAAAUAAGAAUCAUCUCUUGUGUCUAUAAAUAAGAUUCAGCCCCAGGUUCCUCCUUUGCAGAAAUUCUUAUUAAGGACUUGGCUCUCCUCCAAAAAAAUAAGGCAGAGAUCAUUCAAAACUCUUUCAUUCCAAAUUACCGCUGAUAGGAACUGCUUGGUGAGUAUAUCUCUCUAUUUUUAUAUGUGCCUACAAUUUUCCAGUAAAAAGUUUGUUUAAAAUGUCUCUGAACUUGGAAUUAGCUCUAAGUUGUUGUUCCUUUCCAAAGAUACUUUUUAAGUACAUUGGCAUCACCACUGUGGUGCCAUUGAGCAAGUUGCUUACGUGUUCUGAAUUUGUUUCCCAAUCUAUAAGAUGGAAUAAUGACUCCUACCUUGUAAGACUGUUAUAAGCUGAAAUAUCUGGCAUUCAUAAAGCACCUAAAAGAGUACCUUGUACGUGGCGGUCACUCAAUAAAUAAUUAUUAUCAUGUAUUACUAAGAAUACUGAUAAGCAUUCCCAUAAUUAUUAUUGAGGCAUGGGACAAGAGAGUUUGAGUCAUUAUUUAAAAUAGGGCAGGCCUUAAUUCUGUAGCCUCAGAGUACCUGGCAGGAGUAAUUUGGCUGUUGAUUUUGAGUGUUAUCUGACAGGAAUGGCUUCUGUAGUUCCUAUGGAGGCAUGGAUACUAUUGUAAUUUAACAGAACUCACCUCUCUAGUUCUUAGUGCAUUAUGUCUAUUGGCUUUGAGCUUGGCCCAAAUCAUCAACAGAAAGACUGAAUGGUUUCCUCAGGGCAAAAUCUUGACCUAAAAGGGUGGAUUCUGAACCCCAUUUCCAGAGAGAAUGGAAAGCUCACUCAACCAUGUUGCAGCCUUUCAUACUGAUUCUGACAUAAAAUACCAAAAGGAAAUCCUACCUCCAACUCCACAAUAACUCUGAGAAGCUGGGAUCCCUGGGUGGCGCAGCGGUUUGGCGCCUGCCUUUGGCCCAGGGCGCGAUCCUGGAGACCCGGGAUCGAAUCCCACAUCAGGCUCCUGGUGCAUG
Molecule: long non-coding RNA, 2095 nt
Organism: Canis lupus familiaris (dog)
Lineage: Eukaryota; Metazoa; Chordata; Mammalia; Carnivora; Canidae
Exons: 4
Source: RefSeq, a predicted model, not a curated record